CCUCAAGUGCGAUCGGAUGAUCGCGAUUAAAUGUGAUGAACAGUCCAGAUUCGUUUUCUUUUUAAACGCAAUCGGACGAUUGAGAUCAAAUCACGAUGAACGGUCCAGAUUUAUUUAUUUUUUAAAUGCGAUUAAACGGUCCAAAUUUAAGUGAGACGGGUAUAAAUAUAUCGCAUCACACUGAACCCAAACUCUAGCCACUAGC
This 205-nucleotide long non-coding RNA is filed under the name Carica papaya (papaya). RNAcentral describes it as "long non-coding RNA (CPAP_LNC001451)". The record is from RNAcentral. Lineage: Eukaryota; Viridiplantae; Streptophyta; Magnoliopsida; Brassicales; Caricaceae.